RNAcentral lists this ribosomal RNA (1119 nucleotides) under Triticum aestivum (bread wheat). RNAcentral's name for it is "partial small subunit ribosomal RNA". The record is from RNAcentral. Lineage: Eukaryota; Viridiplantae; Streptophyta; Magnoliopsida; Poales; Poaceae.
AUGACCAUGACAAUACUAGCUUCCCACUCUCCGAUUUCGGUCUUGGGGAUAUGGAGUAUAAUGUCUACCCUAGUAGCACUGAUCCCACUACCAUGCCCCCACCUGAGCAACAUGCCUAUACCAUGCCCCCAACCCGAGCAACAUGCCUAUACCAAUCAUCCCACUCUCAAACCCAAUACCAAUCCCAGUACCGAAGCCGAAGGUCACACCAAUUCGAGCAGUGGGACGGGUUCCUCCACCACCAUGGGUGUAAAGCAAAGAGGUCGUCGUAGAACCUCCACGGUGUGGGAAUUCGAUGAAGAAAUAUCUGUGGUGGACAGUGUCCGGAAGGUGGUUGCAAGGUGCAAAAGGUGCAAGAAGGAGUAUACCGGAGAAGCCAAGGCAGGAACCGACCACCUGAAGAGGCAUGUGGAAAGCCACGCCAAGGCGGAUGCAAUGAGAGCAUCAAGCUCGGCAGUUGUGCAAAUGCAGCUCUCCUUCAACCCUGACGGUACGUUACUUUGUCUGGGUUUAUUACCCGACAUCUCCUUUGAUGGUGCAUACCCUCAAAUUCCACUGUUGUAUGCAUUUGCAUUUAUCUUGGAUCCUAGAGCUAAACUUGAAGGGUAUCAUAGUGCACUCAAUGUACUAUCUGCGUCCCUAAGUUUAGAUUAUACUGACGACUUCAAUAAGGCUCGUGAGAAGCCUUUUGAAGUUUUUGCUAAGUAUGAGGAAAAAUAUGCCGGAGUUCGAAUGCAACGACCUCCACCAACACCUACUGCAGGUAAAAAGAGAGGAGCAUGGAGCAAGAUCUUUGGUUCUUCGUCCUCCUCGACCACCGAAAGCUCUUCCAUCGUCAACAUAUGUGCUUCAAGGUGGCGGGGAGUUAGCGAAUGGUGGCAAGAACACAAGCUUACAUUUCCGGUGCUCUCCAUAUUAGCACGUGAUGUGUUAUUGGUGCCUGUCUCUACGGUGUCAUCGGAGUCUGCUUUUAGCCUUGCCGGAAGGAUAGUUGAGGAGAGAAGAACUAGUCUCGCCCCUGAUAUGGUGAGAACACUGAUGUCCGUCAAAAGAUGGGGAGUUCUCAAGAAGGAGAGCGCAACACACUGCAGAAAACAUAGAACUACUAGCCAUGUUUGA